GAAAACUUAGUUAAUCAAUAUAACAUUAGUUUGUCAAGCUGAAGUAAACCCGCGUUAGUUUUCU
This 64-nucleotide transfer RNA is filed under the name Tenebrionoidea sp. 20 KM-2017. RNAcentral describes it as "tRNA-Asp". Lineage: Eukaryota; Metazoa; Arthropoda; Insecta; Coleoptera. The record is from RNAcentral.